CCCACUCCUUUGUUUAAAUUAAAUCCCACACGGCGCUGUAGCGGGCAAGGAGGGGAAGAAGAAAUCGAAAUAUCCCGCUGCUUCGAUCGCCUGCUUUGAUCGCCGUCAUGAAGAGAUCCGGGGCGAUGGUGGCCGCCGCCUCGGCCGUCGCGGGCUCCACCGCCGCCCUCACCGCCGCCGCCACUGCGGCGCUCUCCGAUUCCUCCUCCGAUCCCAAGUCCCAACCUCCUGCCCAGGUAAUUGUUUGCUAAUUUCCAGCUGGAUUGACCUAAUUUCUAUUUUUAUAAUUUUCUCUUCUUCUCUUUGGUUAAAAUCAAAGAACGCGUCGUCUAAGUUGGUAUUUAUUCUUCUAGUCCGGCGAGAGCGAGGAGCAGCGGCGGUCGUCUUCCGCGACGGAUAGAUUUGCUCCGAGAUUCGAUGGAUUGCGGUUUAUUGAGACGCUUGUGACGGCUCAUCGAUGAGGAUUAGAAAGCUAGGAGUGCCCGCUCUCUCCUCUCUCUCUUCUUUCUUGGGGUUAGAGUAGCUAAACAUGUCUGAUGAUUGGUGAAAUGUAACGUUUGAUUGGCUGUAAUUGUAAUUAAUCUUGAGAAAGUGGAAGGUAUUUGCUGUGAUCAUUGUUAUGCGGAGAAAAA
RNAcentral lists this long non-coding RNA (632 nucleotides) under Phoenix dactylifera (date palm). RNAcentral describes it as "long non-coding RNA (PDAC_LNC000358)". The record is from RNAcentral. Lineage: Eukaryota; Viridiplantae; Streptophyta; Magnoliopsida; Arecales; Arecaceae.